AGUCCCCGGAAGCAGUAGCCAAGACCAAUUAUAGCACUUAGCAACCCUACCCGGUCAUGGGCUACUCGGUGCAUGCUGUGGUGCUUGAAGACCUCAAGUUUGAAAUGCGCACCGGGUUUUCCAAGCCUGAGGUUCAGGCAUGCUGGAGAGAUGCAAACAGCGCCGCCCAUGCACUAGCUAAACUAGGCCUGUAAUGUAUUGGUGCCCAUGCAUGCUUUAAUGUGGGAGUAUGAUUACUGUCCAGCGGUUGUUGCUGAUCAUGUAAUGGGUCUUAAUAUAGCUUUGGUAGAUCAAUUAUGUACCAGCACUUGAAACGUGUAUUUUUAGAAACCGCUUAUAGAUCAGUCAACUGAUUUUUUUUUUCAAGUUUCAGUCACUUUGCUCUCAACCUUCGACGGCGUGUUUGGCAGCUUGGGAGAUUGGGCAUGGGAGUUUAUCAGUGGCAGUUUGUGAAGGGAUAAGACUUGGAAAAUAGAUUAUUAGUCCUAAUCCUAUGUUUGGUGUGUGAAGGAAAUUGCCGGUGGGAAUUCGAACAGGAAGUUAUUUUUCUAUUUGGUUCAUGGGUUAAUUAGUGUUGCCGUCGCUAGACGUGAGCGAACAGUUCCCUCGCUCGCCUUUUUAACGCCAACGAAAAUAUUGGAUAGAACCAUGGUGCAGCCGCACCUACGCUCAAAACCACACAUCUGUUGGGCCCCAUCCCUGGAAUUUGUGCCUCACGACCAUGGUAAAAUAUGGCGGGAAAGGUCAAAAGAUAGUUAGCAGGCCUAUAGGUUCUAUGAUAAUAAAAUCUACUGCAUGCUAGAAUAAAAUAACCGCUAAAAUAAUCAAGUUUGGUCCAUAGACAUGUACUGUUCAUCUUUCUUUAUUGCUUCGUGAUGCACAACGGUUGUGGGCCCAUGCUUGCAUGGAUGCCUGAACAAUCGCUGCAAAUAUUAUAUCAAGCUGAAUCGGUUUUUGAAUGUUUCAAUUAGACAAAUUUCUAUGCACCACAACAAAGAAAAAAAAAGCAGCCAUAGUAUUCCAGAGAGAAUCAAAACUUGAGCCUGGCAAUGUAGCUGCUCCUGUUGCUAUUCUUCUAUUUUCCCUUUUUUUGUUUAUUUUUCCAUUUUUCUUCUUUUUGUUUGUUUUUUCUUUUCUGUUGUGUUUUUAUUUUGUCCUGCAUACAUAUCACCGUGAUCUACAUUAUUAUUGGGAAGCGUGAACACGACUUCUUUUUUUAUUUUUUUCUUGGGCCUGUGAGCUACAGUGUUAUUGGGAGGGGUGCCACAUUGGAAGUCGAGCCUGAGAAGGCCUACAAACAAUAUGAGAAAAAAACUCACUCUCUGAAUGCUAACGUAAAUGGUGGGUUAACUUAAAGAGUACCGAAUCAGAAAAAAAUGAAUGCUAAUAGGGCUCAGAUCCCAAUGGGAGGUGUACUACAUCCAAGGGUGUUGACCGUAGGUGCGGCCGAGCCAUGGUCCUAAAACUCAGCUCUCUAACGCCAAUUCCCUUUCCCUCGCUUAAUUGCCUGGGUGCCCCUUGGGAAGAGUUUGAUGGGAGUUGGGCUACUAAUUCCCCUUCCCGUUCCUCUUUUAACUCCCAUGUCCGUGAGUCAAUCAAUGGAAUCCAAGUCUCAUUGAUCUUAAACUCCCAUUCCUCACCUCCAAAUUCCCCCCAAACAAACACGCUGCGAAUGUGAUCCAAGGGUUACAGAGCUUUCUUCUUUCUGCACGCUGUGCCUCCGCCACCAGUACUGGUGGAGGGGCGCCCCUAUAUCUUGCCUUCAGCGAGACCACCUUCCAAUUCGCUAAGGGGGCAAGCGAGAUGGACCGGCCCACGCGAGGUUGGAGCCUGUUUUUGUUUUUCUUUUUCCAUUUUUUGCUUUUAUUUUUGUAUGUUUCUUUAUAGUUUCAUACAAAAAAAUCUACAAAAAACAUUUGGGAAGUGGUGAACAAAUAUAGGAAAAAUGUUCAAUAAAUAUUUCAAAAAAUUUGAAAAAGUAUUUGAAAAAUGUUAAUCAAGCAUUUAGAAAAUGUUGAACGUGCACAAAAAAAAUUGUUGAACGUGUUCAAAAAAUGUUAAUAUUUUUAUUUGAAAUAUGUUAAUCAAGCAAUUGAAUUUUUUUUAAAAGUAUGUACAUGAAACAUGUUGAACAAUUAUUCAAAAAAUGUUAAUCUUGAAUUUGAAAAUACUAAUCAAGCAUUUUAAAAUAUAAGAAAUGUGUACUAGAAAAAUAUUGACCACAUAAAAAAAGUUAAAUUUGUAUUGAAAAAUAUUAAACAUGUAUUAGAAAGAUGGUGUUGACAACUUGACAUAUACAAAAAAUGUAGAAUGAAAAAAAUGAAAACCAAAAAAGAAACAAAAUAAACCAAAGAAAAAGAACAAAAACCCGAAGAAAAACAAAUAAGAUGGCAAGAAUAAAAAAAACCCAGUGAAAACAAAAAACUGAAAUAAAAACUAAAGAAAAACAACGAAACAAGAAAGAAAGGAGAAAAACCAGUAAAACCAAAGAAAAAACGCAGGAAAAGGUGAAAAAACAGAAGAAAAGGAAAACCGGUGAAAAAAAUAAAACUGGCUCAAUUCACCUCAAGUACGUGGCGCCCGUACUAUUUAUCAAGAAGUGGACGUGUACAAAGUGGUUGGCAGCGCUGGUUAUUUCUCAGGAGACCGGAGUUUGAUCCCGCUAUCACUCGCUUUUUCCUGCUCUAUUAAUUCUAAUUAACUCUGCAUGAAAUGGGCUGGCCUGAAGCCUGUGGAUGCUUCAGUGAGACGGUACGGUAUCUCGCUGUGUCUCGUUGAAUGCGAAAUAUAGACGCCGCGGUGGUGAAGCCAAGAAAAUCCCAAGAAAAUCAUUUGAGGCGGGCGGCUGUUCUCAAGUCUUAUUGGAUAGGGCCGGCCCAUCAAAAUACACCAUUUUACACAACAAAUUAAUUAAUUCUAAUUUUAUUUUUUGCUAAAAGAAAAUUGUAAUUUUACUUUCGAACAUAGAGCUGCAAAAAACUUCAUCGAUUUUCAAAAAAGUUCACAAAUUUGAAAAAAGUUCAUCGCAUUUAAAUGAAAGUUCAUCGCAUUUGAACGAAAGUUCAUCGAUUCUCUAAAAAAGUUCAUCGACUUUGAAAAAAGUUCAUCAACUGUAAAAUAAGUUCAUCACAUUUGCAAAAAAGGUCAUCAUUUUUUUUGUCAAAAAAGUUCAUAAAUCGACAAAAAGUUCAUCUGAUUUUGGAAGAAAAGUUCACAAUUUUUUUAAAAAGUUCACCGAUUCUGAAAACAAUUCAUGAUUUUGGAAAAAAGUUCAUGGAUUUUGGAAUAAGUUCAACGUUCUUUAAGAAAAAAAGGGUCAUUGAUUCUUCAAAAAACAUAAAUUACAAGGGCAUAAAAGGCUCUCACGACCUAGAAAAUGAAUAGAAAAAGCGAAAGAAACAUUUAGGCACAAGUGGCACGUAGUCAAACUGGUAGUUCAAUGCUAACUCGACAAACAGAUCCCCGGUUCAAACCCCUGCGAGCACACCCUUCUUUUCGCUCGCUCCAGAUUUGAAUGAAAAAAAAAGUUUCGCUCGCUCCAGAUUUGAAUGAAAAAAAAAGAAAGACGGGCCGUCCUAGCACCGUGGCGGGGGGUUUUCUUGUUUUUUUGGAUUUUGCUUGGUUUUUUCAUAGAUUUUUUUUCCUUGUGUGAAACACUUUGUGCUUCUUGAAAAGUGAAAAUUAUAAUUAUGCUUCAACAUGAAGCACAACUGCGCUUCCCGAAAAGAAAAAAGACAUUAAAAUAUGCUUCCGAUUUUUUUUGUUUCUAUUUUUUCUCUAGUUUCGAGUUUUGUCCGAUUUUCAUUUUUUUUGGCUGGCGGUUAUCUUACGAGAAAAACAGUUCGUUCAAACUUAUAAACAUGUGAUCUAGUUUUAAAAUUAUCAAAGCGAUAAACGCACGGCGAAUAUGAUUUGUGAUUCAAACACACGGUUCAAGAGAAUAUGUUUUUUAAAAUAAAUCUACGAUAAAAGCACAAAACAUCCUGGUUGUGACAAGUGUCGCAAAUUCAAUGUACCAUUUAUCACCGUCAAAGGAGGUAGAAGUGACAUUUGCAAAGAGGACCCUUUAAUUAUCGACGCGAUAAACGCAACGGCGAAUAUGAUUUGUGAUUCAAACACACGGUUCAAGAGAAUAUGUUUUUUAAAAUAAAACUACGAAUAAAAGCACAAAACAUCCUGGUUGUGACAAGUGUCGCAAAUUCAGUGUACCAUUUAUCACCGUCAAAGGAGGUAGAAGUGACAUUUGCAAAGAGGACCCUUUAAUUACUGAUUUCGUAGGAGGUCUCCUUGUCCGCGUGACAAGUGUGAAGCACUACACACUCCCUCCGAAAAGACCAAAUGCCUUUUUUGUGAGAAUCACCAGAUCUAUUAUAAAACAUCCGAAACAUAAUAAAAACUAGAUCGGGAACGCGCCUUGGCGCUAGGUGCCGGUCCUAACGUUGUGGUCAAGCGGGUAAUGCUCAAGUUAGUAGGAAUCCAGAUUUAGCAUACACAUUCAAACAGGAAAACAAAAUAUAGAAAGGAAGAUACAUUCACAUGUGAAGACAUUGUGGAGUUGGGGCAGCAUCGAGUAGUCGCUUGAUUUCGCACCCCUGUGGCGGAAUCCCCUCCCGCGUGACCAGCCAGGCGCCAGCUUCGCGAGUAGGGGCUCCUCUGUCUCCGCCUGGUGCUGAGCGCCGUAGGGGUGGUGAUGGAGGCAGCAAGGAGGAAGAGGAGGUCCACAGCGUCAAGGAGCGGGCGCUGCACUCACGGGGAGAGGAGGAAGGCGAGGCAAGAGAGUGGGGACCAAAGGAGAACGUGCACAAGAGAGCCCUCUCCAACCAGGGGUACUUUUGGAAAGUGCAUUGUACUGGAUUCUCUAAAACAACAUAUAAUACGAAACAGAGGGAGUAAAACUUUACGUUACUUGGUACGGCGGUGUUUUUCAUAAAAUUUGAUCAUACAAAAAUAGGCAACAAAUAUCGUACUUGACAGGGCAAUUAUAAUAUUAGCGCUGGGUACCUGGCUCAUCGGUUGUCCCGGCAUUUAAUCAAAGUUUUAGUGCUCCCAAAGGGAAUUAGACCGUUAAGGAUGUACCAUAAAAAGGGCAGGAUAACCUGAGUUCAGUACAAACCAUUUUGUCAAAGUCAUGCCAAAGGGCAAAGCAAUUAGAUAUACCAAAAGAAAGGCAAGCAGGAUGUAUUUAGUCAGUAGAAAAAUUGAUCUGGAAGUUCAUGAAUAAGCGGAAAUAUACUUUUUGUCCAAAAGUAAAUCAAGCCAGAUGAGCAGGGAAUAUUUAAUUAGUACAACGAAUGAUCUGGAGGCUCAUGAUAAAAGGGAAAUACUUUUUUUGCUCCAAAACUAAGCCAGGACGAUAAAUUCACAUCAAGUUAGAUACAAAGAGUAGAGUUAUUAGACAAUAAAAUCAAGCCAGAGCGCCCACGCGAGAUAAGGAACCUACACAGUUCAACUAAAGCAUACUAUUUGAUAACUUCACUUGAUUCGCUUGACGUUGGACUUCUCAUUGUUGGGGAACGUAGUAAUUUCAAAAGAAAUCCUACACACACGCAAGAUCAUGGUGAUGGUAUAGCAACGAGAGAGGAGAGUGUUGUCCACGUACCCUCGUAGACCGUAAGCGGAAGCGUUAUGACAACGCGGUUGAUGUAGUCGUAUGUCUUCACGAUCCGACCGAUCCAAGUACCGAACGUACGGCACCUCCGUGUUCAGCACACGUUCAGCUCGAUGACGUUCCCCAGGCUCCAAUCCAGCAAAGCGUCGGGGAUGAGUUCCGUCAGCACGAUGGCGUGGUGACGAUGAUGAUGUUCUUCCGGCGCAGGCCUUCGCCUAAACUCCGCGAUGAUAUGACCGAGGUGAAAUAUGGUGGAGGGGGGCACCGCACAUGGCUAAGGAACGAUCCGUAGAUCAACUUGUGUGUCAUGGGGUGCCCCCCUGCCCCCGUAUAUAAAGGAGGGAGGGGGGAGGAGGCCGGCCCUAGGAGGUGGCGCGCCAAGUGUGGAGUCCUACUAGGACUCCCUAGUCCUAGUAGGAUUCCACAUCCCUUGUUGGAGUGGGAGAAGGGGAAAGAGGGGGAGAGGAAGAAGGAAAAGGGUGCUGCGCCCCUUGUCCAAUUCGGACCAGAGGGGGGGUGCAGGCCUCCUUCCUUUUGGCCUCUCUCCUCUAUUCCCGCAUGGCCCAAUAAGGCCCAUAUACUCCCCGGCGAAUUCCCGUAACUCUCCGGUGCUUCGAAAAAUACCCGAAUCACUCGGAACCUUUCCGAACUCCGAAUAUAGUCGUCCAAUAUAUCGAUUUUUACGUCUCGACCAUUUCGAGACUCCUCGUCAUGUCCCCGAUCUCAUCCGGGACUCCGAACUCCUUCGAUACAUCAAAACUCAUAAACUCAUAAUAUAACUGUCAUCGAAACCUUAAGCGUGCGGACCCUACGGGUUCGAGAACUAUGUAGACAUGACCUAGAACUAUUCUCGGUCAAUAACCAAUAGCGGAACCUGGAUGUCCAUAUUGGUUCCUACAUAUUCUACGAAGAUCUUUAUCGGUCAAACCGCACAACAACAUACGUUGUUCCCUUUGUCAUCGGUAUGUUACUUGCCCGAGAUUCGAUCGUCGGUAUCUAAUACCUAGUUCAAUCUCAUUACCGGUAAGUCUCUUUACUCGUUACGUAAUGCAUCAUUCCGUAACUAACUCAUUAGCUACAUUGCUUGCAAGGCUUAUAGUGAUGUGCAUUACCGAGAGGGACCAAAGAUACCUCUCCGACAAUCGGAGUGACAAAACCUAAUCUCGAAAUACGCCAACCCAACAUGUACCUUUGGAGACACCUGUAGUACUCCUUUAUAAUCACCCAGUUACAUUGUGACGUUUGGUAGCACCCAAAGUGUUCCUCCGGUAAACGGGAGUUGCAUAAUCUCAUAGUUACAGGAACAUGUAUAAGUCAUGAAGAAAGCAAUAGCAAUAUACUAAACGAUCAAGUGCUAGGAUAACGGAAUGGGUCAAGUCAAUCACAUCAUUCUCCUAAUGAUGUGAUCCCGUUAAUCAAAUUACAACUCUUUUGUCUAUGGUUAGGAAACAUAACCAUCUUUGAUUCAACGAGCUAGUCAAGUAGAGGCAUACUAGUGACACUAUGUUUGUCUAUGUAUUCACACAUGUAUUAUGUUUCCGGUUAAUACAAUUCUAGCAUGAAUAAUAAACAUUUAUCAUGAUAUAAGGAAAUAAAUAAUAACUUUAUUAUUGCCUCUAGGGCAUAUUUCCUUCAGUCUCCCACUUGCACUAGAGUCAAUAAUCUAGUUCACAUCGCCAUGUGAUUUAACACCAAUAUUCACUUAUGUAUGUGAUUAAUACCCAUAGUUCACAUCGUCAUGUGAUCAACACCCAAAGGGUUUACUAGAGUCAAUAAUCUAGUUCACAUCGCUAUGUGAUUAACACCCAAAAGAGUACUAAGGUAUGAUCAUGUUUUGCUCGUGAGAGAAGUUUAGUCAACGGGUCUGUCACAUCCAGAGCCGUAUGUAUUUUGCAAAUAUUCGAUGUCUACAAUGCUCUGUAUGGAGCUGCUCUAGCUAAGUGCUCCCACUUUCAAUAUGUAUCCAGAUUGAGACUUAGAGUCAUCUGGAUCGGUGUAAAAGCUUGCACCGAUGUAACUCUUUACGACGGGCUCUUUUAUCACCUCCAUAAUCGAGAAGUAUUUCCUUAGUCCUCACUAAGGAUAUUCUUGACCGCUGUCCAGUGAUCUACUAUUAGAUCAAAAUUGUAUUCCUUUGCCAAACAAAGCAAGGUAUACAAUAGGUCUGGUUCACAGCAUAGCAUACUUUAUAGAACCUAUGACUGAGGCAUAGGGAAUGACUUUUCAUUCUCUUUCUAUUUUCUGCCAUGGUCGGGUCUUGAGUCUUACUCAACUGCACACCUUGCAACACAGGCAAAAACUCCUUCUUUGACAGUUCCAUUUUGAACUAUUUCAAAAAAAUUAUCAAGGUAUGUACUCAUUGAAAAAUCUUAUCAAGCGUCUUGAUCUAUCUAUAUAGAUCUUGAUGCUCAAUGUGUAAGCAGCUUCAACGAGGUCUUGCUUUGAAAAACUCUUAUUCAAAUAUCCUUUUAUGCUAUCCAAAAUUUCUAUAUCAUUUCCAAUCAACAAUAUGUCAUCCACAUAUAAUAUUAGAAAUGCUACAGAGCUCCCACUCACUUUCUUGUAAAUACAAGCUUCUCAAAAAGUCUGUAUAAAACCAUAUGCUUUGAUCAACUCAUCAAAGCAUAUAUUCCAACUCCGAGAUGUUUGCACCAGUCCAUUGAUGGAUCGCUGGAGCUUGCACACUUUGUUAGCACCUUUAGGAUUGACAAAACCUUCUGGUUGCAUCAUAUACAACUUUUUUAUAAUAAAUCCAUUAAGGAAUGCAGUUUUGAUAUCCUUUUGCCAGAUUUCAUAAAAUGUGGCGUUUGCUAACAUGAUUCGGACAGACUUAAGCAUUGAUACGAGUGAGAAAAUCUCAUCGUAUUCAACACCUUGAACUUGUCGAAAACCCUUUUUGCGACAAGUCGAGCUUUGUAGAUAGUAACACUACUAUCAGCAUCUAUCUUCCUCUUGAAGAUCCAUUUAUACAAUAUGGCUUGCCGAUCAUCGGGCAACUCCACCAAAGUCCACACUUUGUUCUCAUAUAUGGAUCCCAUCUCAGAUUUCAUGGCCUCAAGCCAUUUUGCGGAAUCUGGGCUCAUCAUCGCUUCCUCAUAGUUUGUAGGUUCAUCAUGGUCUAGUAACAUGACUUCCAGAACAUGAUUACCGUACCACUCUGGUGCGGAUCUUACUCUGGAAGACCUACAAGGUUUGGUAGCAACUUGAUCUGAAGUUUCAUGAUCAUCAUCAUUAACUUCCUCACUAAUUGGUGUAGGAAUCACUGAAACUGAUUUCUGUGAUGAACUACUUUCCAAUAAGGGAGAAGGUACAAUUACCUCAUCAAGUUCUAUUUUCCUCCCACUCACUUCUUUCGAGAGAAACUCCUUCUCUAGAAAGGAUCCAUCUUAGCAACGAAUAACUUGCCUUCGGAUUUAUGAUAGAAGGUGUACCCAAUAGUUACCUUUGGGUAUUCUAUGAAGACGCACUUCUCUGAUUUGAGUUCAAGCUUAUCAGGUGAAAACUUUUUCACAUAAGCAUCACAGCCCCAAACUUUAUGAAACGACAACUUUGGUUUCUCGCCAAACCACAGUUCAUAAGGCGUCGUCUCAACGGAUUUUGAUGGUGCCCUAUUUAAAGUGAAUGCAGCUGUCUCUAAUGCAUAACCCCAAAACGAUAGUGGGUAAAUCGGUAAGAGACAUCAUAGAUUGCACUAUAUCCAAUAAAGUACGGUUAUGACGUUCGGACACACCAUAACGCUGUGGUGUUCCAUGUGGCGUGAGCUGUGAAACUAUUCCAUAUUGUUUUANNNNNNNNNNNNNNNNNNNNNNNNNNNNNNNNNNNNNNNNNNNNNNNNNNNNNNNNNNNNNNNNNNNNNNNNNNNNNNNNNNNNNNNNNNNNNNNNNNNNAUGAAGGCCAAACUCGUAACUCAAAUAUUCUUCUCUACGAUCUGAUCACAGAAACUUUAUUUACUUGUUACGAUGAUUUUACACUUCACUCUGAAAUUCUUUGAACCUUUCAACUAUUUCAGAUUUAUGUUUCAUCAAGUAGAUAUUCUCAUAUCUGCUCAAAUCAUCUUGUGAAGGUCAGAAAAUAACGAUACCCGCCACGAGCAUCAACACUCAUUGGACCACAUACAUCGGUAUGUAUUAUUUCCAACAAGUCAGUAGCUCAUUUCAUUGUUCCGGAGAACGGAGUUUUAGUCAUCUUGCCCAAAAGGCACGUUUCGCAAGCAUCAAAUGAUUCAUAACCAAGUGAUUCCAAAAAUCCAUCUUUAUGGAGUUUCUUCAUGUGCUUUACACCGAUAUGACCCAAACGGCAGUGCCACAAAUAAGUUGCACUAUCAUUAUUAACUUUGCAUCUUUUGGCAUCAAUAUUGUUAAUAUGUGUAUCACUAUGAUCGAGAUCCAACAAACUAUUUUCAUUGGGUGUAUGACCAUCGAAGGUUUUAUUCAUGUAAAUAGAACAACAAUUAUUCUUUGACUUUAAAUGAAUAACCGUAUUGCAAUAAACAUGAUCAAAUCAUAUUCAUGCUCAACGCAAAUGCCAAAUAACAUUUAUUUAGGUUUAACACUAAUCCCGAAAGUAUAGGGAGUGUGCGAUGAUGAUCAUAUCAAUCUUGGAACCACUUCCAACACAUAUCGUCACUUCACCCUCAACUAGUCUCUGUUUAUUCUGUAACUCCUGUUUCGAGUUACUAAUAAUUAGCAACCAAACAAGUAUCAAAUACUCAGGGGCUACUAUAAACACUAGUAAGGUACACAUCAAUAACCUGUAUAUCAAAUAUACCCUUGUUCACUUUGCCAUCCUUCUUAUCCACCAAAUAUUCAGGGCAUUUCCACUUCCAGUGACCAUUUCCUUUGCAGUGUAAGCACUCAGUUUCAGGCUUUGGUUCAGCUUUGGGCUUCUUCGUGGGAGUGACAACUUGCUUGUCAUUCUAGUUGAAGUUCCCUUUCUUCCCCUUUGCCCUUUUCUUGAAACUAGUGAUCUUGUCAACCAUCAACACUUGAUGCUCUUUCUUGAUUUCUAUCUUCGUUGAUUUCAACAUCACGAAGAGCUCGGGAAUCGUUUUCGUCAUCCCUUGCAUACUGUAGUUCAUCACAAAGUUCUACUAACUUGGUGAUGGUGACUAGAGAACUCUAUCAAUCACUAUCUUAUCUGGAAGAUUAACUCCCACUUGAUUCAAGCGAUUGUAGUACCCAGACAAUCUGAGCACAUGCUCACUAGUUGAGCGAUUCUCCUCCAUCUUUUAGCCAUAGAACUUGUUGGAGACUUCAUAUCUCUCAAGUCGGGUAUUUGCUUGAAAUAUUAACUUCAACUCCUGGAACAUCUCAUAUGGUCCAUGAUGUUCAAAACGUCUUUGAAGUCCCGAUUCUAAGUUGUUAAGCAUGGUGCACUAAACUAUCAAGUAGUCAUCAUAUUGAGCUAGCCAAACGUUCAUAACAUCUGCAUCUGCUCCUGCAAUAGGUCUGUCACCUAGUGGUGCAUUAAGGACAUAAUUCUUCUGUGCAGCAAUGAGGAUAAACCUCAGAUCACGGAUCCAAUCCGCAUCAUUGCUACCAACAUCUUUCAACACAAUUUUCUCUAGGAACAUAUCAAAAUAAACAUAUGAAAGCAAAAAUGCAAGCUAUUGAUCUACAACAUAAUUUGCAAAAUACUACCAGGACUAAGUUCAUGAUAAAUUUAAGUUCAAUUAAUCAUAUUACUUAAGAACUCCCACUUAGAAAGACAUCCCUCUAAUCCUCUAAGUGAUCACGUGAUCCAAAUCAACUAAACCAUAACCGAUCAUCACGUGAAAUGGAGUAGCUUUCAAUGGUGAACAUCAUUAUGUUGAUCAUAUCUACUAUAUGAUUCACGCUCGACCUUUCGGUCUCCGUGCUCUGAGGCCAUAUCUGCAUAUGCUAGGCUCGUCAAGUUUAACUUGAGUAUUCCGCGUGUGCAAAACUGGCUUGCACCCGUUGUAGAUGGACGUAGAGCUUAUCACACCCGAUCAUCACGUGGUGUCUGGGCACGACGAACUUUGGCAACGGUGCAUACUCACUUCUUGAUAAUUAGUGAGAGAUCAUCUUAAAAUGCUACCGUCAAUCAAAGCAAGAUAAGAUGCAUAAAAGAUAAACAUCACAUGCAAUCAAUAUAAGUGAUAUGAUAUGGCCAUCAUCAUCUUAUGCUUGUGAUCUCCAUCUCCGAAGCACCUCCAUGAUCACCAUCGUCACCGGCGCGACACCUUGAUCUCCAUCGUAGCAUCGUUGUCGUCUCGCCAAUCUUAUGCUUCUACGACUAUCACUACCGCUUAGAGAUAAAGCAAAGCAUUACAGGGCAAUUGCAUUGCAUACAAUAAAGCGACAACCAUAUGGCUCCUGCCAGUUGCCGAUGACUCGGUUACAAAACAUGAUCAUCUCAUACAAUAAAAUAUAACAUCACGUCUUGACCAUAUCACAUCACAACAUGCCCUGCAAAAACAAGUUAGACGUCCUCUACUUUGUUGUUGCAAAUUUUACGUGGCUGCUACGGGCUUAGUAAGAGCCAUUCUUACCUACGCAUCAAAACCACAACGAUAGUUUGUCAAGUUAGUGCUGUUUUAACCUUCGCAAGGACCGGGCGUAGCCACACUCGGUUCAACUAAAGUUGGAGAAACUGACACCCGCCAGCCACCUGUGUGCAAAGCACGUCGGUAGAACCAGUCUCGCAUAAGCGUACGCGUAAUGUCGGUCCAGGCCGCUUCAUCCAACAAUACCACCGAACCAAAGUAUGACAUGCUGGUAAGCAGUAUGACUUAUAUCGCCCACAACUCACUUGUGUUCUACUCAUGCAUAUGACAUCUACGCAUAAAAUCAGGCUCGGAUGCCACUGUUGGGGAACGUAGUAAUUUCAAAAAAAUUCCUACGCACACGCAAGAUCAUGGUGAUGGUAUGGCAACGAGAGGGGAGAGUGUUGUCCACGUACCCUCGUAGACCGUAAGCGGAAGCGUUAUGACAACGCGGUUGAUGUAGUCGUACGUCUUCACGAUCCGACCGAUCCAAGUACCGAACGUACGGCACCUCCGUGUUCAGCACACGUUCAGCUCGAUGACGUUCCCCGGGCUCCAAUCCAGCAAAGCGUCGCGGAUGAGUUCCGUCAGCACGACGGCGUGGUGACGAUGAUGAUGUUCUUCCGGUGCAGGGCUUCGCCUAAACUCCGCGACGAUAUGACCGAGGUGGAAUAUGGUGGAGGGGGGCACCGCACACGGCUAAGGAACGAUCCGUAGAUCAACUUGUGUGUCAUGGGGUGCCCCCCUGCCCCCGUAUAUAAAGGAGGAAGGGGGGAGGAGGCCGGCCCUAGGAGGUGGCGCGCCAAGUGUGGAGUCCUACUAGGAGUCCCUAGUCGUAGUAGGAUUCCACCUCCCUUGUUGGAGUGGGAGAAGGGGAAAGAGGGGGAGAGGAAGAAGGAAAAGGGUGCUGCACCCCUUGUCCAAUUCGGACCAGAGGGGGGGCGCAGGCCUCCUUCCUUUUGGCCUCUCUCCUCUAUUCCCGUAUGGCCCAAUAAGGCCCAUAUACUCCCCGGCGAAUUCCCGUAACUCUCCGGUACUCCGAAAAAUACCCGAAUCACUCAGAACCUUUCCGAACUCCGAAUAUAGUCGUCCAAUAUAUCGAUCUUUACGUCUCGACCAUUUCAAGACUCCUCGUCAUGUCCCCGAUCUCAUCCGGGACUCCGAACUCCUUCGGUACAUCAAAACUCAUAAACUCAUAAUAUAACUGUCAUCGAAACCUUAAGCGUGCGGACCCUACGGGUUCGAGAACUAUGUAGACAUGACCUAGAACUAUUCUCGGUCAAUAACCAAUAGCGGAACCUGGAUGUCCAUAUUGGUUCCUACAUAUUCUACGAAGAUCUUUAUCGGUCAAACCGCAUAACAACAUACGUUGUUCCCUUUGUCAUCGGUAUGUUACUUGCCCGAGAUUCGAUCGUCGGUAUCUAAUACCUAGUUCAAUCUCAUUACCGGCAAGUCUCUUUACUCGUUACAUAAUGCAUCAUUCGUAACUAACUCAUUAGCUACAAUGCUUGCAAGGCUUAUAGUGAUGUGCAUUACCGAGAGGGCCCAAAGAUACCUCUCCGACAAUUGGAGUGACAAAACCUAAUCUCGAAAUACGCCAACCCAACAUGUACCUUUGGAGACACCUGUAGUACUCCUUUAUAAUCACCCAGUUACGUUGUGACGUUUGGUAGCACCCAAAGUGUUCCUCCGAUAAACGGGAGUUGCAUAAUCUCAUAGUUAUAGGAACAUGUAUAAGUCAUGAAGAAAGCAAUAGCAAUAUACUAAACGAUCAAGUGCUAGGCUAACGGAAUGGGUCAAGUCAAUCACAUCAUUCUCCUAAUGAUGUGAUCCCGUUAAUCAAAUGACAACUCUUUUGUCUAUGGUUAGGAAACAUAACCAUCUUUGAUUCAACGAGCUAGUCAAGUAGAGGCAUACUAGUGACACUAUGUUUGUCUAUGUAUUCACACAUGUAUUAUGUUUCCGGUUAAUACAAUUCUAGCAUGAAUAAUAAACAUUUAUCAUGAUAUAAGGAAAUAAAUAAUAACUUUAUUAUUGCCUCUAGGGCAUAUUUCCUUCACUCAUAUGGCAAGUUACACGAACCUGCUGUUAGUAUUUAGUUUAGCCAAUUAAGCCAUAGCAAAAAAAAUAUGGAUAACAAGGUUAUGUUCUUUGAACUGACCGCAUGUGGAUAGUGAGCGAUAGUUUGCCCCAUACUCAUGUUCAAAGUUGGCACCAUACCGGUCCUAUGUGUCGAGUGUAAGAGUUCAGUUUAACAUGAGAAGAACAAUCUAUUUAACAAUGGUGUAAGAGUUCAUUUAACAUGUAGAGAACAAUCUAUUGAAUGAUGGCGUAAGGUCAGCAUGCUACCUCUUGUUAAGGUCCUUUCACAAAGACAUAGUUCGCUACACGAAGCUUGGCCCCUUGUCUUUUUGGCACAUUGGCGUUUAUGGCGGCACUUACCUGAAUAUUUGAGACAAUCAGUGUCUUGGAGUUCUGUUUGAUGUAAUCUUCUUUUGCGACGUGUUUGUUGGGAUCCGAUGAAUUAUGUGUUCAUGAUCAGAUUAUUCAUGAAUACUGAGUCUUCUCUAAACUCUUUUAUGCAUGAUUAUUAUAGCUUUGUAUUUCUCUCCAAUCUAUCGGUUUGGUUUGGCCAACUAGAUUGAUUUAUCUUGCAAUGGGAGAGGUGCUUUGUGAUGGGUUUAAUCUUGCAGUACUCCAUCCUAGUGACAGAAAGGGAAAUGCCAAGUAUUUGUAUUGUUUCCAUUAAGGAUAAAACGAUGGAGUUUAUUCAUAUUGCUUUAGUUUACUUUGGCUACAUCAUGUCAUCUUGCUUAAGACGUUACUCUGUUUUUAUAGCUUAAUACCCUAGAUGCAUCCUAGAUAGCGGUCGAUGGGUGGAGUAAUAGUAGUAGAUCCAGGCAGGAGUCGAUCUACUUGUCUCAGACGUGAUGCCUAUAUACAUGAUCAUUGCCUUGAAUAUCGUCAUAACUAUGCGCUUUUCUAUCAAUUGUCCAACAAUAAUUUAUUUACCCACCGUAUACUAUGUGUUCGAGAGAGAAGCCUCUAGUGAAAACUAUGGCCCCCGGUCUACUUUUAUCAUUUAUAAAAUCCAAAAAUACCUUGUUGCAUUUAUUUUAUUUUAAUUCAUUUUGUAUUUUAUCUUAGCUAUCUACCACUACGAGAUUUGAUCCUUGCAAAUAACAGUGAGGGGAUUGGCAACCCCCUUGAUCGCGUUGGGUGCAAGUAUUUUCUUUUGUGUGUGUAGGUGCUGCUAACAAGGUUCUGUGUGAUUUUCCUACUGGAUUAAUAACCUUGGUUUUUAAUUGAGAGAAAUACUUAUCUAUAAUGUACUGCAUCAUCCUCUCUUUUUCAAGGAAAUCCAACGCAGCUGACAAGUGGUACUGACUAGCACGGUCAACAGGGCAAGAGAGCUCCUGAAGCAGCUGGCGAAGCCACGAACACUCGGCGACAGCGUUGGCCACCGCACGACACUCAGCCUCAGCACUGGAACGAGAGACCGUAGGCUGCCGCUUGGACGACCACGAGAUAAGUGAUGGUCCAAGGUAGACACAAUAGCCUGAAGUGGAGUGACGAGUGUCAGGGCAGCCCGUCCAGUCUGCAUCGGAGUAGGCGGUGAGGGCGGUGUCGGCGGAGGCGUGAAGCAUGACGCCAAGAUCCAUAGUGCCACAGAUAUAGCGGAGAAUCCGCUUGAUGGCAGCCAAGUGAACGUCUCGAGGAGCAUGCAUAUGCAGACACACCUGUUGCACAACGGAUCUCCGGUCGAGUCAGAGUGAGGUACUGGAGUGACGAGUGUCAGGGCAGCCCGUCCAGUCUGCAUCGGAGUAGCUAGACAAAAAAUGAUGUUAAGUUUAUUUACAAUUGAAAAGCCUAACAAUCUUAUAUUACCUCAAGCUCGUACGUACAUGUACCAUUACUCAAUCUUGUGUGCCACCCACUGCGGGAGAUCAGGCUCAGUUGCUCCAGGGUGAACUCGUGAUUAUCAGACGAGCUACUGCCUACUAGCCGGCAGCUCGCCCACAUGACAGGUGAAUGAAUAAGGCCACAAAACCAGCAGCCAAUAAUAUAAAUACCAGCUCCUGCCUACUAGCCGACAGCUGUGCAUUUGUAGAAGCUAGCCGUGCAUGGCUUGCAUAUAGAAUCUCUAAUAGGCCCAAGUGCAACAGACCGAAGUGUAUGUGUUCAGUGCCGUGCUUGGCCCAUAUAUGAAGGCCGGUUCGCCUGAUAGCGCAAGGCAUGUGCUAGGCCGCCGUCCCAAGAACUAGCCCGAAACCAAGCGAACCUGCCUAGUUUUUGCCUAAAACGAUGAAUUUUGGCCUAGAGGGGUGAAUUUUGAGAAUUGACAAGGUUUGCCAUUUUUUACCUAAAUUUAGGCCAUUUUUAGCCAGAACUGAGACCUGCCUGGUUUUGUAUACCUCAAACCUGGCUAGUGCCUCGAUCAAGUUGUGGGCUUGGUUGGGCCUUGCCUCGGCCGGGUUUAGUUGGUUGUUCAUUUACUUUGUUCGUUGUCAAGAUCAAUUACCGUCGUCAAGGUCGGUAAAAUAAAAGAGACAAGAACGCGACAGUAUACAUCCAUAGGCGAUGUGCACACACAUUUAGAUUAAAGAGAUGCGUACGCUAUGUUUAGCUAACACAAUACAUGCAUGAACCGAGUGCACGAACGUGUUUUAAGAAGCUAGCUAACUUAGGUUUUCCGUUUUUUGGCAUGUUAGUGAUCACCAUAAACCAAAUCUAGAUGAAUUAUUGCUCGACCUAGUGGCUAGUACUCCCUCCGUUCCUAAAUAUAACCUUUUAGGAAUUCCACUAUAAACUAUAUACGGAGCAAAAUGAAUAUGUCUAUAUACAUCCGUAUGUACUUCACAGUGGAAUCUGUAAAAUGUCUUAUAUUUAUUUAGGAACGCAGGAAGUAUAUCAGUUAGAUACAGUAAAAAGAAUAUUGUUUUAUUGGUCAAAGUCUCAACCCGUUGGCAUGCUCUGUUUAGGGUGGGCAUUUUUUUCUCGAAUACGCACGAGUGUGCGUGCAUUAUAUUAAAGCUCUGCGCAGGCAUGAAUGAGCUACUGCAAAAAUGCGGCAGUUCACACUCCCAAAUGAACCAACAACAAACUUGAAUAAAUAAGGAGAAAAUCAUACACAGAUUAUGGCAUGCCACUCCGGUUGAAGAAUUGAAUGUCAUUGCACGAGAAGUAAUCGACAUCAAUUUCAACACGAUUUCAAACACUUUCGGUGGAAAACAAGCAAAAAAGAACAAGUUGCAUCAUCUGGCGGCUAGUCUUGCCAUUUUACAAUGUGAUUCAAAAUCUCAGCUCUUGGGAGGAUACUUCUCUGCUCGGUGACUUGCGACCUUUGGGGGUAACCACGGCGUCAUCAACAGUCUUAAUGGCACCAACACCAAACAUUGGCCCCUUGUUGCCUGCAUCUGUAGCAAACCACAACAUAGUCAACAACAGUUUGACACGUCACAUGAGUCAAUCGAUUCAAACAAAAUGCCUAAUGUUGAUAGAAAAAAGCCAUACAUAUGUUGAUUAUGCUCGCACUAACUAAUCUAAGCCGCACAAAAAAGCAACUGUGCCACAAUGAAUUGGCAAGAGGCAAUAAACAGAGACCUAUGUAUGAGAUCCUCUACUGCAGAUAUUUCAGCAAAAGAUGAAAGUCAUGCAUCCAACUUCGGGAAGAAUCAUUAACGAGCGGCCUGUACUAAAAGAAAAAAAAACAUGACAAACAUGUGUACUUGUAGCCCACAACCUACAAGAGUAUAUAUGAUUACCAACUCACUGUAAGCAGUCUGAGAAACAUCUGAUUAAAAAUCAGUAGAUAAAUCUCAGUUUCGCACUCGCAUGACACUAUUCUCUCAAAAAGAAUUGCGCCUCCAUCUCUCACUGCUUUUAAUACCAAAAACUUAAAUGUGCAUACUGCAACAGUGCAAAGAACAUUGGUUUCCUGAUACUGGCUAGGCUACAGCACUAACUGAAAAUCAUUGGCUAUCACUCAUACCAAGUCCUACGAUGGCAAGGUUUAGUCCAGGAAUUCUCAGCUACCUGGUGGUCAGAAUCAAUUUUAAGCUACCAUCAAAACAAAAAGAUCUAUUAAAAGGGGUUAAAGCCCCACACAGUAACAUACGAUCAUAGGUUUUUGUUGGUUAUUAGGCCAUGUAAAUCAACUGCCAUAAUUCAAAUUUCCAUCACAGCAGCAGAAUUGACCUAGCAUUAUCAACACCCCAGCUAGGGCAUCACAACCAAACUAAAUCACCAAAAAAUCAGCUGGGCUUCAGCAAGCUUCAGAACAACUGAAGGAAAACCUCUCCCUCCAAGCUACUUAGCAACUACAGCAGGCUUAAGAAGUUAAGAAGCAUGAACUGGAAAAUAAUGCCAAAAAGGUCUUAAACAAAUCACCAAAGCUUGUCUUCUUAGAGAUUAUUUGUAUUACGUUAGUAGUGCAUAUCUUAGCCUGUGAGAUCUAAGAUGGGUCCUUACGAUGGAAUGGUUUAGUCCAGGAAUUCUCAGCUACCUGGUGGUCAAAAUAAAAUUUAGCCAGGCCACCAUUUCUCGAAACAAAAAAGAUUUAUUAUUAGGGGGUUAAAGCCCCACACUAUAACAUAAGAGUGUGGUUACCACUGUCUUUGCUAAACCAGGCGGAAGAACAGUAGUGGGAAAAGGUGCCUCCCAACGAGUGGAAACAAAGAUACUAUCUAUAUCAGCGACCACAGGUUUUUGUUGGUUAUUGUCCCAUGCAAAAUCAACUACCAGAAUUGAAAUUUCCAUCACAACGACAAAAUUGAUCUAGUACCAACAACACCCCAGCCAGCGCAUGAAUAGGACAUCGCAACCGAAUCAAAUCACCACAAAUCAACUUCGGCUCAUUGGCCAGCACACAAAGCAGCCUUAGCUCAAAGGCUAGGUCACAGAUUACAGGGUGGGAAGGCGAAACGUAGGACUUACCAGUCAAAGUUGUAGCCAAUGCCAAACAUCACUGUGCAGUGAAUUCACCCAUCGCGUGGCACUUAGGUUUGCUCCCGGUGAUCACUUCCAGGAUUUGUCUUUAUAUAUGCACUCCUGGGAUAUUCAAAAAGCGAGUUAGGUCUCUCAAAUUAAAGAUGACACAAAACGUAAGUGAAAAGAAGUCCAAAUCUCUUCAGGUUGUAUAACAGUCUAACAAGAACUCGUGAGUUGCAAAUAACCAAAAGCUUAAAGAUAAUGUAAAUGAACCAAGCUUCAGUUGAAACAUUGUCAAUCUGUUGUUAAGUAAAAAGGACCUAUAAACCAUUGCCAUAUUGCAAAUAUGUACAUCUUUGCUAAAACUAACAGCAGAUUUCUCAACGAUAGAUCACACUUCAUACAAGGUAAACAUAAAAUUCUUCAAAUGGGGUCUUUACAGGGUGAUCGGGACAGCACGCAGAGAGCCAUAGAGACAAAUUGAACACUGUCGUGGUGUCCAAGCCGAGUAGAAAACAACAAUGUUUAUUACAUGAUGCCGCAGAAACUAGAGGCAUAUUGCACAAUAACUAUGUAGAGCAGAAGAGGCCACACAGUCUCCCCAACUUGUUAUUAUAUCUCCAGCUCAAUUUCUGCCAAAUCAUUGGCGCGUCGCGGGCAGAGGAUUCCUCCGCCAAUUAUUUGGCUUGCCCAUAGAUUGGCAAGGCUGGCCGUGGCGCAAUCCAAACAAUCCCUAUUUUCCAGUACAUAAGAAAAAAUUCAACAGAAACAAAACCGAAUGAAUCCAUGAUUACAUCACGAACCCAGAUAAGCCAGACCAAAACCAAGCAUAAUGAAUCCAUUCUUAUCAAUAUCAUGACUAGAGAUACAUAUAUAGAUAGUAAUCCUAAAUCCUAUCCUAUCAAUUCAGAAUCGGGCAGCAUGACUAAAGGCUCAAAUAUGAACAUGUGUAUUAUGUUGACUCCUGAUAACUGUAGACAAACCCGAAGACAACAACUUGGCAUCAUUCAGCAGACAGGAAUUGUCAACAUGGAACGAAAGCAUGUCUUCCUAAUGAACUUCAGCUCGAUGGACAGCUAUCCAGCACACGGAGCAGCCUUAUCUGGAAGGCUAGUUCCCAAAGCACGGUAGAGGCAAAACAGAUGACUUACCCGUCAGAGUUGUAGCCGAUGCCAAACAUCACCGCCGCAGCAGCGUGAAUGCGCCUGUCACGUGGCACACAUGUUUGCUCCAAGUGAUCACUUCCCAGUUUUCUUUCCUUUAUAUACGCACUCCUGACAUAUUCAAAGAACCAAAUCAGGUCUUGAGAAUGAAGACAACACAAAAAAGGCACUGACUAAAUAAGUGAAAAGUCCAAAUCUCUUCCGGUUGUAUAACAUGCUAACAAGAACCCAUGAGUUGCAAAUAACCUAAAACUUAAACAAAAUAUAGAUAAAGCAAGCUUCAAUCGAAACAUUGUCCAAUCUGCUAUUAAUGAAACAACACCUAUAAACCAUUGCCAGAUUGCAAAUAAAUACAUAUUUGCUAAAACCAAUAGCAGAUUGCUCAAAGACAAAUCGCACUACAUACAAGGUAAACAUAAAAUUCUUCUAAUGGGGUAUAUACAGGGUGAUCGUCAUAGCAUGCAGAGAGCCAUAGAGAGAAUUUGAACACUGCCUGAUAACUUAUUCGUGGUCCCCAAGCCGAGGGUGAUAAUUUUUUUAGGGCCACCUUUGACAUCAAAACUCUAAACCUAAGACCACACUCAUUUCUGUUACUAAUACGAACAAAUAAAGGUACACGGGCAGCUCCCAGGAGAAUAGGAGCAGGGAGAACAGGAGCAGAGAAGAUGCAGGGCCUCAGCAAGCUUUUGAACAACCAAAAGAAAACCUCUCUCUCCGUGCUACACAACACCUUACAUCAGGCUUAAGAAGUGAAGAAGCAUGAUCUGAAAAAUGAUGCCAAAAAGGUCUUACACAAAUUAGCCUGUCGAAUCUAAGUGGGAUACUAUGGCAACGUUUAGUCCAGAAAUGCUCAACUACCUGGUGAUAAUAAUCAAUUUUCAGCCAAACAAAAAGAUCUAUUGUUAGGUGUUAAAACCCCACAAUGUAACACAAGAGGAGAGCGGUCAUCGCGUGUCUUUAGUGAAGCAGGCAGAAGAGCAGAGUAGUGGGAAAAUGUGCAUCUCAACGAGUGGAAACGAAUAUCCUGUCUAUAUCAGCCAACAUAGGUAUUUGUGGUUAUUGGCCAAUUUAAAUCUGAGAAGGUGAGUGGGAAUGUUAUUUGUAUGGUCUCUGGACUACUUAUAGGCAAAGGUAGCAGAUUAACCUUAUAACUCCCUGUAAAACAAAAAUAUAAGACAAAAAUAGAUAUUUAACUAGUGCGGUUUUGACAUCAGAAAUAGAAACAAUUCUGUUUACCUAUUCAAGGUUUUCUAAAUAAACCAUGUAAACAGUUUAUCAUGCAAGCAGUCAAAGAAGAUAUACCAUUGCCAGUCCAACUGAAAGGAACCAUGCUGUGCAAUCUUCUUUCCAAAAGCAGUCCUUAGGGCCCGCUCAACCAUCAUGUGCGUGCCACAUUCUGCUGCUACUCUUAGUCUCAGGCAAUGAUGUGAUCUUCCAGGACCAAGCCUUCCCUGCAAAGCAACAUAAAUAUGACACACAAAGUACAGGUUGGGAACGAUCAAUGGUAGUAUUAGAAUUCAGAAGACUGAUGCUUACUUCAGUAAGCUCGAAACCAUGUCCUUCCCCAUGGAGGAUAUUCAUGAAUGGAACACGCAAGUUAUCAGAAGCAAUCUCUGCAUGUCCAUGUGAUGCAUCAUUGAACCCAAAGACUAACAUUGGUCUCUUUCUCUUCAACCGGGAGUGUUGAUAUCCAAUAAGAUCACUGACUGCUGCUUGCAUUUAGGUGCGGACAAAACUAUUUUUCCUGCAUGAAACAAGCACCACUUAAAUCACAGGAAAAAUAUUAGAUCACCCACAACAUGUCCAUGUUACGCUUACCAUUAAUAUGAGGACUUUACACUCGGGUCAAUAGUCCUACCCGUCCACCAUUUUUGCCAUUUUUCUCAUAGAAAUCCUUGUCUGUCGAGGGAUAAAUAGUCAAGUAAUCAGUGACGCAUAAGACUCAAAUUAAAGAAAAUGAUGCCAUUUCUAUAGUCCAUCAAAAGAGGAGGGCGUGGAAAUGUAUGCCAUGGGGAUAUAAUUGAUUUGCUGCUAAUACACAAGAAUCUGGAGGUCUUGGCCAACAUACUAAAUUACUCGUACUAUUUUUGCUGCUAGACUAAAAAUACUUUUCAGGUGAGAAAAAAAAUAGACAAAAGGAACUGUUGGUAACUCUACAAACCAGGAUCAGCUACACAUCUCGUCCAAAGCUAUUUGAUAGCCCAUAACAUGUAAUAGCUUUGUAACUAAAGAGAGAGGUGGGAGAGGCAUUAGUAAGCACAUGUGAUAAUAUAUCAGCAGUCAAAAAACCAUAUCACUGAAGGUUAAAUCAUGGCUAAAUUCACACUUUGGAGCUAAAUCCACCAAAACAGGUUGCAUCAAAGAUCAUCACAAGAAUAGCAGAUGUUCAACACAGACCAUCGCCAUAGCCCAAAACCCUAGAUAUUGCCAUGGCUCGAUAGCAAUGCAUGGGAACACAGAGCAUGACAUAACAGAACACAACGAUUAUGAAUAAUACUGCAGUAGCAGCUGUGUCACAAAGAACCAAGCACACAGUAAAACUAUGAUGGCAACAUGAAAAAUAAAGUGCAAUAUGAAGACCUUGCAGACGAUGCAGGAAUAGUUAAAUGUUAUGGUGACCAUUAAUAUCAAGAUUUUACGCGUCAUGUAAACAAUUAAAUGAAUCAAGCUCAUGCAAGUUAAUGGUGAUGUAAGCAAAUAAACGGAUUAUGCAAGAAGUCGCAAAGGUUAUACCUUUACCAGGUCCGACUGAAAGGAACCAUGAUGUGUGAUCUUCUUUCCAAAAGCGGUCCUGCGUAAGGCCCCCUCAACCAUCACAUCCAUGCCAUGUUCCGCUACUACUCUUAGUAUCAUGCAAUGAAGUAGUCUUCCAAGGCCUAGUCUUCCCUGCAAAGCAUCUUAAAUAUGACACAGUAAGUACAGGUUGGGAUUGAUCAAUACUAGUGUCAGAAGAGUGCUGCUUACUUGAGCAAUCUCGAAACCACAUCCUUCCCCGAGGAGGAUAUUUGUGACCGGAAAACACACGUUAUCAGAAGUAAUCUCUGCAUGUCCUUGUAGUGGGUCAUCGAACCCAAAGACUAACAAUGGUCUCUUUAUCUGCACUCCAGGAGUGUUGAUAUCCACUAAGAUCAUUGGCUGCUGCUUAUGUUAAGUGCAAAAGAAUCUGUUUUUCCCUGCAUGAAACAAACACCGCUUAAAUCACAGGAAAAAUGUACAUCACCCGUAGCACCACUUUCAUGGAUAGACGUUACGCCUACCAUUAAUAUGAGGACUUUUCACCUCGGGUCCAUAGCCCCACCGGCCCACCAUUUCUUGCCUUUUAUCGCAAGAAUAGAAAUCCCUGCCUGUCAAGGGAUAAAUAAUGAAGUAAUCACCAAGGCAGAAAACUCAAACGAAAGAAAAUAAAAAUGAAGCCAUUUGUAUAGACUAUGAAAAGUGGAGGGCCUGGAAAUGUACACCAUGAGGAUACAAUUGAUUUCCUAUUAAUACUGUAGAGAAGUAAGAGAGGAUGCAACAGUGAACUUGUAUUGAUCAUCAACAGCGAGUACAUAUAUACAGGGUAGCGGACGAGAAUUUGUAAUAGAGAAACCUCAAUAAACUCCUACGUAUACGCCUAUACAGGAGAUCUUAGAGGGAGACAUGGGCGUUAGGCUAGCUGCCAUGCACCGGAGAUAAUAAACCAAGUUCUUACAAGAAAUACAGAGGAAUUUCAGGGUCUCAACCAGCAUACUGCAUGACUAAUUUUGCUGUUGAACUGAAAAAUCAGCUGAAAAAAAUAGACAAAAGAAACUGGUUGUAGCUGUAGGAAGGAACUAGGAUCAGCAAUAAGAUCUCGGCAACAGCUAUAUGAUAGCCCAUAUAACAAGGUAAUAGCUUUGUGACUAAAGAGGAAGGGGGGAGGGAGGCGGGAGGCGUUAAAAAGGUGUAAGCACAUGUGACGAAGAUAUCAACAGCCCAGAAAACGUAUCGCUGAAGGUAAAAUCCUGGGAAAUUUUGCACUUCAGAGGUAAGUAAAUCCACUAAAACGGACCAUCACUACAGCCCAAAACCCUAGAAAUUUCCAUGGCUCGAUAUGGGUACACAGAGCAUGACAGAACAUAACACAACGAAUCUGAAUUAUACUGGAGUAGCAGCUACGUACGUCACAGAGAACCGAGCAGACAACAAAACUAUGAUGGCAACAUGGGAAAAAAGUGCAAGAUGAAGACCUUGCAGCAGUAGAUGGCGGCUCCUUGUCCUUGUCCGGCCGGCUGACUGAUGGAUGUUUGCUUGCCGACUAGCAAUCGAUCGAGGGAUGGAGAAGAGUAGAAUCCGGCAGCGAUUUGAAUGUAACGGGGAAAUGGGGGGGCUUCGAUGAGUCAGUAAGAGAGAGACCAGAGAGGAGGGGCGGGAGAAUCUGCGAGGGGGUCGGGGUGAGGCGACCCCCGUAGAUCCGUGGAGCCCGAGCCUGGUUCGGCGCCGGCGAGCGGGCGCCAGAGGCCACCCACCGCACGCCCGCGUCGUGGCCCAAGAAGAACCACACAUGGGCUCCUCUCCCGGCACGCGUUGUGGGUGUGGAGGCAACGUCGAGCACCUCCGUCGCGGCCCGGGUAGAAGCAACCAACGGCGACGUGGAUCGGGAAGCACCAAGGCGGAUCUGGAAGCGCCAUAGCCGACGCUUGACCAGCUCGACCUGGGUCCUAGGUUAGGGCCACACGGUCGGGCGGCUGCGGGAAAUCAGAUGGGCGAUAAAAUUUUGGGAGGCGGCCGCGGAAAAUCCCGGCGGGCAUGAAAAUUUCACGCACAGGCUAGAGGUGGGGUCGGGGUGGUGUGAUUUUUUCUUCUUUUUAAUUAAAGAGAGAGAGGGAGAGUGGGGCUUUGGUGGCUCUCUCCUUUUUCAUUUAAUUGGAAUUAACUCUAGAAUGUUUGGCUUCUUCAUCGGGGACAGUGUUUUCUCGGGGAAUUUGAGGAUUUGCCAAAUCUUUCUUUGCACUUUCAGGAUUUGCCCUCAUUUUCGUCGUCAUUAAUGGUUUGCCACACGUUUGCUGAAAUCUUGGUGAUUUGCCCCUGACAAGAUGGACCCAUAGAGAAAUGUCGAAAAUGCCCCUGCAAUCCCCAACCUAGUCCCGUCUCUCACCUCUCCCAGGCCCGAUGAAAUCACGGCGAUGACCUGCACCGCUGCAUGGACCGGAGCCUUACACGCAUGAAGCUCUGACUUCUCUGUCACGGCGAGAAACAAGCAUGAGUGCACUCAUUGGCGAACCGGGCCGUCGACAUCAGAAGGACAGGUCACGACCCAGCUCCGCAUUCCACCAUUGUCGUCGCCGCACAAGUCGCAGCGCCAACCACACGCAACACCGGUUGGUCACUUGCCAACCGUGAUGCCAUGCAUGUCGAGCCCAAGGUAAGCGCGGAGAAGGAUCAUCGAUAUUCAAAGCAACACCCCAAGGGGGGAAACGCUGCAGGAACAACGUCGUUGCCUGACCCAGAUGAGUCAAGGCUUUCGUCCGAUGAACCAGAUCCGAGGAUGCAGCGGAUCGAAGAAACUCCAUGACAGCGCCUUCAAGAAUCGGGCAAGCUUUCGAUACCCUCACACAGUCGGCCGAAGUCGGGCCAAACUGCACAAACAUCGGGAGCAAACAGAGGAUAUGAGGAUUCCGGCGGGGUUGAGUUGAGCCUGUGAUCUCUCGUAUGUUUGUGAGGGUGUUUGGAACCCUAGUGCAUAGGUGUCAACUCGUAGAUAGGUUAAGGCUAGGGUAUUGUUGCAGUGCGUUGUUGAUUGCGACGAGGGUGGCGGUGUGUUCUAAUGAAAUGAAAUAAAAAAAAAUAUGAAAACAUAUAUUUUGUGCAUUAGCUAGGUUUUUUUAGAACACAGUACAGACGUGGGCGAUCAUAUAUACGCGCAUUCAUUCACCCCUAUUAACACACACAUGCACAACAUAUCCCCUAUGAUCAUCUCUGAGAGAUUGAGUCGGCAUAUCAUCUUAGGGUUGACGAAGUUACCUCAUAGGCGCCUCAUAGUCGACGGGAACGUAUGCUCCCACUAAACGUUUGCUCGCAUGCAUGUGCAUUUGAACGAGCUAGCUAUAUGCUCCAUCCGUCCCUAAAUAUAAAUCCUUUUAGAUAUUUUAAUAAUGACUAUAUAUAUAUAUACAUGUAUUUUUUAGUAUAAAUCCACUCAUUUCGAACGGUAUGUAGUCUAUAUUGAAAUCUCUAAAAAGGACUUAGAUUUAGGAACGGAGGUAGUAUUUCUUGAAAAAAAAAGAGAAGGACCUAGCUAUAUAUAGUAAGUGUAUAAGUUUUGUGCACGUGCACUAGCUAGUAGCUAGCCUAGCAGCUAUAGCAUCAGUUAUUUUUUCUACAACAAUUUGUUGUAUCGAAAAAUGAAACCAAGUAGGAGUACUCACUAGAUGGAGUAUUUCAUUUGGCGCGUGGACUUUGGAGACCGUCGCACGUGCACUGAGAUGGAAACUAUGCCGGCGCGUGUGAGUUCGGAGUGGAGCAUGAUCGAGCCGACGACGCGUUCUUCGUGCGUAUGCAUGCCGUACGGCGGCAGCAGAAUCGGAAAGUUGGUCGCGGGCAGGGAGACGAUCGAUCAGAGGAAAAAAGUUUCAAGUCGCGAUGGCGGCGGCGGCGACCGGAGAGCAAAUUUGGUUGUCCGACGAACCCCGCGGCCGUGAGAGAGGCGAACGCCUGCGCGCGCCUGGCUCUGGCUGGACGAGAGGGCGAAACCAUGCAUGGGCCCGACGUGCAGUCCUGCCGCCUAUGCCGUUUCCGAUUUGCCGGCCGUGUUGCUGCGAUGUAUAGCAAUAGCAUGACGAGGAAUUGAUUCGUUGGCGGUGCGUGGCAGAGCGGAGAGGAGGAAGAAGACGAGGUCCGUUGAGCCCGCAGCGGAGCGGUGGGAAGAGGUGAAGUGCUCCCAACGCACGGACGCCGGCGGUGGGCGUGCAGCUUGAGAAAGACGUUGCCUUUGUGCGCCGACGCUGAUGGACCUUGACGCACGAGCAGGAUUGACAUGGAUUCCAGCGGGCUCUCGGAUGAUUUGUCCUUCUUGUGGAUUUGCGGCCAGUCAUGUUAGUCAUGAGACAUGAAUGAAGAAUGAGAAGCACGCGAUUUGGCUCUGUGGUGUGCGUCGGCCGGAUUCCUGCAAGAAAGGACUUGAGUGGGCGGAGAAGAGUUGGCAGGUCAGGUGGCAUGGCGCUGACCGGAGACGGGAGAGACGAGCUUAGGCGCUCCGCUGGAUCGAGGAGGAAAGAGAAGAUGCAUGCACGGCAGGUGUGGCGACGAGAGGCCCAGCCGGUCCUAGCUGGCCUUGCACGUACGCACGCACGCAUGUUGGUCUUAUCCUGCAUGCGGCAAACGCCGGCAAGGAUUCAUGAGGGCUUGGAGUUGCCGUCGCCGGAGAGGUCGCAGUGGCAUGCAUGCAGAGAGCCGGCGAGCAGUACGACUGUCGCGCGCGAGGGCGGCCUCCGAAACGCAGAUGCUGGGUUGCCUCCUUGCAGGGGCCAAAACGCUGGGGAGGGGGAUUCCGGCGAACUGCGUGCGGCCGGAGAAACAAACGUCUGUCAUCGUGCAGAUUCGCCGUGGGAGGCCAGGCGGCAGACGUACUCAGGAAUCCAAGUAUUUUUUCCUUGUUGGCCGCAACAAAUUCUCUGUAUUUGAUUUGAUGGGAAUUUGUUUUCUUUUUUUCUUUUUGAGAGAGAGAAGAAAGAAUAUUGGACGGGAGGACGGAGGUUGGAUUGGAGAAGAAGAGUCGAGUCGAGAAAAGGAGCGUCGCGAAUCGUCUCGCUCCUCUCUUCGCGAAUCGUCGCGAAUCGUUUCUUGUUCGGCAUGCAGCCACAAAACAGCAUGCCUUGUUCGGCAUCUUUGCACCGUCGUUAACCGGUUUUUUUUCGAUUCCUUGGCGUGCGUGCAGCUCGGAGGGCCAUCAUGGACGAUUUUACUGGGAAGAAGGGAUUCCACGGGCGCAAACGUCCAGGCCCGCACACCAGCGGGCAGGCGCAGUGCAGCUCCUUCCGCUCCCGGAUCUACGGCGGCGACACCAACAUCAACGCGCCCUACGCCGCAUCUCUCCGGGCCAACUGCCCCCAGUCCGGCGGCAACGGCAACCUGGCGCCGUUGGACACGACGACGCCCAACACCUUCGACAACGCAUACUACACGGACCUCCUAUCCUAGAAGGGGCUCAUGCACUCGGACCAGGUGCUCUUCAACAACGACACCACCGACAACACCGUCCGCAACUUCGCGUCGAGCGCGGCGGCCUUCAGCAGCGCCUUCACGACGGCCAUGAUCAAGAUGGGCAACAUCGCGCCGCUCACCGGGGUGCACGGCCAGAUCAGGCUCAGCUGCUCCAAGGUGAACUCCUGAUUGACGUACAUGUUGGCAGCUCGCCGGCACGGCACGUCAAUGAAUAAGUUCCCAGAAGCAGUAGCCAAGACCAAUUAUAGCACUUAGCAACCCUACCCGGUCAUGGGCUACUCGGUGCAUGCUGUGGUGCUUGAAGACCUCAAGUUUGAAAUGCGUACCGGGUUUUCGAAGCCUGAGGUUCAGGCAUGCUAGAGAGAUUGCACUAGCUAAACUAGGUCUGCAAUGUAUUGGUGCCCAUGCUUUAAUGUGGGAGUAUGAUUACUGUCCAGCGGUUGUUGCUGAUCAUGUAAAAGGUGACAUGCCCACGUCUUAACAAAGCUUUGGUAGAUCAAUUAUGUACCAGCACUUGAAACGUGUGUUUUU
This 28918-nucleotide long non-coding RNA is filed under the name Triticum aestivum (bread wheat). RNAcentral describes it as "long non-coding RNA (TAES_LNC021936)". The record is from RNAcentral. Lineage: Eukaryota; Viridiplantae; Streptophyta; Magnoliopsida; Poales; Poaceae.